Molecule: ribosomal RNA, 500 nt
Filed under: uncultured bacterium
Lineage: Bacteria
Description: bacterial SSU rRNA
Rfam family: Bacterial small subunit ribosomal RNA
Source: RNAcentral
CAGAGCUUGGAAUAACACCGGGAAACCGGUGCUAAUACCGAAUACUCUCAUUCGGCCGCAUGACUGAAUGAGGAAAGAUUUAUCACUCUGGGACGGGCUCGCGGCCUAUCAGCUUGUUGGUGAGGUAACGGCUCACCAAGGCUACGACGGGUAGCUGGUCUGAGAGGACGAUCAGCCACACUGGGACUGAGACACGGCCCAGACUCCUACGGGAGGCAGCAGUGGGGAAUAUUGCGCAAUGGGCGAAAGCCUGACGCAGCAACGCCGCGUGGAGGAUGAAGGCUCUCGGGUUGUAAACUCCUUUCAGCAGGGACGAAAAUGACGGUACCUGCAGAAGAAGCCCCGGCUAACUACGUGCCAGCAGCCGCGGUGAGACGUAGGGGGCAAGCGUUGUCCGGAUUUAUUGGGCGUAAAGAGCUCGUAGGCGGCUUGGCAAGUCGGAUGUGAAAUCUCCAGGCUUAACCUGGAGUCGCCAUCCGAUACUGCUAUGGCUAGAGUCC